CCUACGGGAGGCAGCAGUGAGGAAUAUUGGUCAAUGGACGAGAGUCUGAACCAGCCAAGUAGCGUGAAGGAUGACUGCCCUAUGGGUUGUAAACUUCUUUUAUAUGGGAAUAAAACGUUCCACGUGUGGGAUUUUGUAUGUACCAUAUGAAUAAGGAUCGGCUAACUCCGUGCCAGCAGCCGCGGUAAUACGGAGGAUCCGAGCGUUAUCCGGGUUUAUUGGGUUUAAAGGGAGCGUAGGUGGAUUGUUAAGUCAGUUGUGAAAGUUUGCGGCUCAACCGUAAAAUUGCAGUUGAAACUGGCAGUCUUGAGUACAGUAGAGGUGGGCGGAAUGCGUGGUGUAGCGGUGAAAUGCUUAGAUAUCACGAAGAACUCCGAUUGCGAAGGCAGUUCACUGGACUGCAACUGACACUGAGGCUCGAAAGUGUGGGUAUCAAACAGGAUUAGAUACCCGGGUAGUC
This 460-nucleotide ribosomal RNA is filed under the name uncultured bacterium. RNAcentral describes it as "partial 16S ribosomal RNA". It matches the Rfam family "Bacterial small subunit ribosomal RNA", at positions 338 to 795 of the family's 1533-position model. The record is from RNAcentral.